Molecule: transfer RNA, 63 nt
Filed under: Hoplasoma unicolor
Lineage: Eukaryota; Metazoa; Arthropoda; Insecta; Coleoptera; Chrysomelidae
Description: tRNA-Pro
Source: RNAcentral
CAGAUAUUAGUUUAUAUUAAAAUUUUAGUUUUGGAGACUAGGGAUAAUUUUUGUUAUAUCUGA